UCUUAAGCAGGCUCCAUCUACUAUUUGAAGCUUCUGCCUCAGCUUGCAUUGUUUGUAAGAGAACCUGCAUCAUACCUUUAUCUGUAGCCUUCCCUUAGGUCUUAAGGAUCCUGAAACUUUCCUGUGGACAUUUGGUGGAACAGCAAUCAUGACUGUGGGAAAGAGUAGCAAGACGCUUUGACUAUAGGAUGAGAUGUAUCCUGCAAGAUGGUCGUAUCUUCAUUGGCACCUUUAAGGCUUUUGACAAGCAUAUGAACUUGAUCCUCUGUGAUUGUGAUGAUUUCAGGAAGAUCAAGCCAAAGAAUGCUAAGCAGCCAGAGCGUGAAGAAAAGCGAGUUUUGGGUCUGGUGUUGUUGCGUGGGGAGAACUUGGUUUCCAUGACUGUGGAGGGACCACCCCCCAAAGAUACUGGCCUUGCUCGGGUACCACUUGCUGGAGCUGCAGGGGGCCCUGGGGUUGGCAGGGCAGCUGGCAGAGGCGUUCCAACUGGUGUUCCAAUUCCCCAGGCUCCUGCUGGAUCAGCAGGCCCUGUCCGAGGGGUUGGGGGCCCAUCUCAACAGGUAAUGACCCCACAGGGAAGAGGCACUGUAGCAGCUGCUGCAGUUGCUGCUACUGCCAGCAUUGCUGGAGCUCCAACUCAGUAUCCACCAGGACGGGGGACUGCACCUGCACCUGCUGGUCGAGCAACCCCACCUCCAGGAAUUAUGGCUCCUCCGCCUGGUAUGAGACCACCCAUGGGCCCACCAAUUGGGCUUCCUCCUACUCUUGGGACGCCAAUAGGCAUGCCCCCUCCAGGAAUGAGACCCCCUCCACCAGGGAUAAGAGGUCCACCUCCCCCAGGAAUGCAUCCACCAAGACCCUAGGAUACUGUUGAUCCUUCUUAGUCACUUUUUGUCCUGCAGUGCAGCUUGUGAAAUGUGUGAAAUGUUUGUGAGCUUUUGUCCCCUUCUGCUCCAUUAAUAUUAGCUAAUAAAUGCAUAGAGCAAUUAAACUGUGAA
RNA transcript from Capra hircus (goat), 998 nucleotides. It is a transcript of the gene named small nuclear ribonucleoprotein-associated protein N pseudogene, with no coding region annotated. The record is from RefSeq and is a predicted model, not a curated record. The transcript has a single exon. Lineage: Eukaryota; Metazoa; Chordata; Mammalia; Artiodactyla; Bovidae.